This 27-nucleotide small RNA is filed under the name Bombyx mori (domestic silkworm). RNAcentral describes it as "ovarian small RNA-22489". Lineage: Eukaryota; Metazoa; Arthropoda; Insecta; Lepidoptera; Bombycidae. The record is from RNAcentral.
UAGCUAUUGUCUAAUGACGUCAUUUUG